Molecule: long non-coding RNA, 1351 nt
Organism: Mauremys reevesii (Reeves's turtle)
Lineage: Eukaryota; Metazoa; Chordata; Testudines; Geoemydidae
Exons: 4
Source: RefSeq, a predicted model, not a curated record
GGAGGGAGGACUGGAGCUUGGAGGGAUGCUGUGAGACUUGGAAGAUCAGAAAACUGGAGUAAGGGAGACCCUGCUCCAGCAUCUAAGGACUGAAGGUACCCCACCCAAGGGGGAAGAGGGCAGAUGAAGUUGAAGACUAACCUAGUGUUACAAUGAAGGACCUGAUUCUGGUUAUUUCCAAGUGUGUUGUCCAGCCCAUCAUCCCUUCUCAGGUCCCACCAUGGCCUUCUCAAAGGCCCUUCAUCUCCAACACGCUAUUGGAACGUUCCUCUUCAUUCUCUUCGGUGGUUUAGCCUGGGUCACCAUUGUUCUACCCAAUCUAUCCAGCGAGGACCAUCAAUAGUGAACUCCGAGUGCAGCCAGGACCAAAGCCAGCCCCAGGGAACCAUAGGGAGUGGAAUCAGUGCGGUUCCACUGUUCAUAGGAGGAGAGGUGGAUUCCAGAUGGCCACGCAGUGUGGAGGCACAGCUCCCUGAAGGUGAUGCUCCCUGGAAGGCUCCAUAACAAUUUGUGAACGGACAGCUGAGAUCCCACUGAAGCCACGGGCGUGAGACUAGGUAGUGAGAGAAACACUGAUCAAGAAAGAGGAAAGCUUCUGGCCUUAUACUCCAUGACUCUCUGUGAUGUGGUUCCUGUUCCAUUUGCGGCAUGAUGCUCCGCUGAGUUCUCCCAAGGAUGAUGGACUAUGCCCAGCCAGCAGCAUGGUUUCAUUGCCAGCUGUGUGCAAUGAGAGUUACUCGCAGGUAUCCUCAAAACACAGGUUCUUUUUCCAUCUCUGUUUCUCCCUUUGCUUUCUUCUCACUCUCAUUCUUAUUUGCACUAGAGUAGCUCCUGGAAGACCCAGACAAAAAUCAAGGCCCUGGUGUGCUAGAUACUGUACAGACAUAUAGUAAGAGACAGUACUUGCCCUGAAGAACUUACAAAGUACAACUCACCUGGGAUAUGGUGAAUUCACCAUUGAAAUACUUAAAUCCAGACUGGGUGUUUUUCUGUGUAUAUGCUCUAGCUCAGCCCAGAAGCUAUGGGCUUCAUGCAGGGAUUAGCAGGUGAGAUUCCCAGGCCUGUGUUAUGAAGGCGGUCAGAGAGGAUCACAAUGGUUCCUCCUGUAGACAAGGCAGAAAAGAAGUGGGCGGGAGGGAAGGGAUUUGCCCCCACUCACCCAACAGGUCAGCGACAGAGCUGGAUGUGUACAAGCCUCAUUCUUUAAUCACGCUCACUGUUAAAAAUUUUUUUUACUGCUUUCUAAUUUGAAUUUAUCUGGCUUCAGCUUCCAAACACUGGUUCUUGUUCUGCCAUUUCCCACUAGAUUAAAGGGCCCUUCUAACAUCUGGUAUUUACUCCCUGUGAAGGU